RNAcentral lists this ribosomal RNA (239 nucleotides) under uncultured bacterium. RNAcentral describes it as "partial 16S ribosomal RNA". It matches the Rfam family "Bacterial small subunit ribosomal RNA", at positions 92 to 334 of the family's 1533-position model. The record is from RNAcentral.
CGAGUGGCGGACGGGUGAGUAAUGUCGGGGAAACUGCCCGAUGGAGGGGGAUAACUACUGGAAACGGUAGCUAAUACCGCAUAACGUCGCAAGACCAAAGAGGGGGACCUUCGGGCCUCUUGCCAUCGGAUGUGCCCAGAUGGGAUUAGCUAGUAGGUGGGGUAACGGCUCACCUAGGCGACGAUCCCUAGCUGGUCUGAGAGGAUGACCAGCCACACUGGAACUGAGACACGGUCCAG